GGGGGGGGGGGGGGGGGGGGUGGGCGGGUGGGGGUCGGGCGGGGGGGGCGUGCUUGUGGGGGGGGCUCGGGUGGCGGACGGGUGGGUAACCCGUGGGUGACCUGCCCUUGGCUUUGGGAUCACUUCAGGCACCUGGGGCUUAUGCCGGCUAGGAGCUCCUGCUGCAUGGUGGGGGUUGGACCGUUUCGGCGGUUGGGGCUGGACUCGCGUCUUACCAGCUUGUUGGUGGGGUAGUGGCUUACCAAGGCUUUGACGGGUAGCCGGCCUGAGAGGGUGACCGGCCACAUUGGGACUGAGAUACGGCCCAGACUCCUACGGGAGGCAGCAGUGGGGAAUAGUGCACAAUGGGCGGAAGCCUGAUGCAGCAACGCCGCGUGCGGGAUGACGGCCUUCGGGUUGUAAACCGCUUUCGCCGGUGACGAAGCGUGAGUGACGGUAAUGGGUAAAGAAGCACCGGCUAACUACGUG
Molecule: ribosomal RNA, 468 nt
Filed under: uncultured bacterium
Lineage: Bacteria
Description: partial 16S ribosomal RNA
Rfam family: Bacterial small subunit ribosomal RNA
Source: RNAcentral